UUAUGGGCUGUCACCUACCGCUGAAUGUAUAGGCGGUGUGGAGGGAACGCGGGGAAGUGAAACAUCUCAGUACCCGCAGGAAGAGAAAACAAGAGUGAUUCCGGGAGUAGUGGCGAGCGAAACCGGAAGAGGCUAAACCGUUUGUGUGUGAUACCCGGCAGGGGUUGCGCAGGCGGGGUUGUGGGAGUUUCUGUGAUCGUUCUGCCGGACGGUCGUCGAGUAAAAAAUCGUGGGUGUAGGCGAAGGGCAUGCGAA
RNAcentral lists this ribosomal RNA (255 nucleotides) under Streptomyces millisiae. RNAcentral describes it as "Streptomyces sp. DSM 44918 partial 23S ribosomal RNA". It matches the Rfam family "Bacterial large subunit ribosomal RNA", at positions 138 to 348 of the family's 2925-position model. The record is from RNAcentral. Lineage: Bacteria; Bacillati; Actinomycetota; Actinomycetes; Kitasatosporales; Streptomycetaceae.